Betta splendens (Siamese fighting fish) is the source of this 4022-nucleotide long non-coding RNA. RefSeq lists it as uncharacterized. NCBI's taxonomy places the organism in Eukaryota, Metazoa, Chordata, Actinopteri, Anabantiformes, Osphronemidae. The transcript is spliced from 2 exons. The record is from RefSeq and is a predicted model, not a curated record.
AAUCCAAUACUGUGGUUGACUAAUCAGUAAUAAGCAUGGAACUGCUGUCUACACUGAGCAUCAGGAGUUUGAGCUGUCAGACAAAUCUGCAGCUGCGCCGUUGCCAUGGAGACGAAAGGCGGGAAAAUCAGGCUCCCUCUGCUCUGUAAAAGCAGAGUUUCACCCUUGAUAAAUAGGCUUAUUCCAGCAAAACCAUAACAGUUAUUACAAAAAAAAUUCAUUUUAUGAAUUCCAAGGCUUCCCUGAACAUGUGGAGUUAAUUUUAUGUUUGAGGACGAAAGCUUGUAGCCACAGUCACAAUUUCAAAAUAUGUCUUCUCCUUGUCUCUGUGGCUGCUGCAGUCUGUGGGGGGCUCUGUGUGGGCGGCUUGGGUCAAAACACCUGCCCUCCUGAACUGAAGGUGUGUGGGCUCCCUGGCUGCUGGGAUUAUUUCCUCUGCUUGUUGGAUGGGCGUAGCGGCCGAGCUCCUCCAUCACCCUGGCUUUCACAAGUGGCAUUGUUCAUGCACCAACGUCUGCCUCAGCCUUUGGGUGAACAAUGUUAAGCUACAGCUUUACUAACCUUGUAGUGGGACACUCUACACCUGAGCUGAUAAACAGGCUUUCCAAACCCAACUGUAAGUAUUACUGGUACUAAUCACUACCAAUAUCAAUAAUGUGUGAAUAUGGAUGUCAUGGCUAUUAUUAAGUAGUAUUAGAUAUGUAUAACAAUGCAUAUGUGUAUGUAUAUGAUAUAUGUAUAAGAUAUAUGUAUAUGUUUGUAUGAGUAUGUGCACAUACCUUAACACUAUGUCAGGCUUAGGCAGAGAUCGGACCCACAUGCACAGUGCGAACACACAGAGUAGGUGGUAAAGUCAAGGUUUAGUACAAGUCAGUACCCUCGAUCUUGUCCUGACAUAUGGGGUUGAAAUUGAUCAUUUCAAAGUUCUUCCCCAAAACCCUCUGUUAUCUGACCAUUUCUUAUUAACUUUUCAAUUUACCAUAAUUGACCUUGCAGCAGCUGGAGAAGAAGGCUGAAGAAGGAGGCAGUGAAUCAGAGGAGGUUAGCUCCGUGGUAUAACUCAGAGAUCCGCAGCCUAAAGCACAGGACCAGAAAACUAGAAAGACAGUGGCAUUCCAACAAAAUAAUUGUAAAUUGCUUAGCAUAGAAGGACAGUUUAAUAAUAUAUAAAAAAGCAAUUUGUGCUGCUAGGAAAACUAUUAUUCAUCCUUAAUUGAGGAAAACAAAAACAACCCCAGGUUUCUUUUCAGCACUGUAGCCAGGCUGACAAAGAGUCAUAGCUGUGUUGAGUCUGCUAUCCCCUUAAAUCUCAGCAGCAAUGACUUCAUGAAGUACUUUGCUAAAAAGAAAUUAUCACUAUUAAAGACAUUCAUCAACAUCCAUCCUCCAAAUGACAGAAAUCACUAUCUAGAUCCAACAACUUUAAUAAAUUUACCAAGAGCGCUGUCUUACUUACAGAGCUUUUCCCCCAUAACUCAUAUGGAGUUAGCUUCAAUAAUUAACUCUUCCAAGUCGUCCACCUGUCUUUUAGACCCAAUCCCAACCAAAUUACUCAAAGAAGUUCUACCUUUAAUCAGCUCGUCCAUAAUAAGUCAAAUCAGCCAAUCUUUCUUAAUAGGCUAUGUACCACAGGCUUUUACAUUGGCUGUGGCUUUAUUAUUAUUAUUAUUAUUAUUAUUAUUAUUAUUAUUAUUAUUAUUAUUAUUAUUAUUAUUAUUAUUAUUUUAAAUUUACUCUUUAUGUCUAAGAUUCUUGAAAAAUUUGUGGCUAAACAAUUAUCUGACCACCUGAGUAGGAAUAACCUGUACGAAGAUUUUCAGUCAGGAUUUAGAAAACAUCAUAGCACAGAAACAGCUCUGGUUAGAUUCACUAAUGAUCUUCUCUUAGAUUCGAAUGGUCUGGUCUCUGUCCUUGUCCUGUUAGAUCUUAGUGCUGCUUUUGAUACAAUUGACCAUACUAUUCUAUUACUGAGACUAGAACAUAGAAUCGGAAAUUAAAGUAACAGCACUGGGAUGGUUUAAAUCCUAUUUGUUGAACAGAUUGCAGUUUGUUCAUGUUAACAACAACUUCUCCACAUGCACAAGUAUUAGCUUUGGAAUAGCACAGGGUUCUGUGUUUGGUCCAAUUAUGUUAAGUCUAUACAUGUCUCCUCUAGGUAAGAAUAUUAGGAAGCAUUCUGUAAAUUUUCAUUGUUAUACAGAUGAUACUCAGCUAUAUAUGUCUUUGGAACCAAAUAAAACAGAUCAACGAGUCAAAAUUCAAAGUUGUUUAAAAGACAUCAAAUCCUCCUACUUCCACCUUAGAAAUAUAGUUAAAAUCAGAAGCAUCCUCUCUCAGAGCGAUGCAGAGAAACUGAUUCAUGCAUUUGUUACCUCUAGGCUGGACUACUGUAACUGUUUACUCAUAGGAUGUCCUAACAGCUCCUUAAAAAGCCUACAGCUAAUUCAAAAUGCUGCAGCCAGAGUUCUGAUGGGACUUAGAAAGAGAGAUCACACCCUGGUCCAAUCAUCCUGCCUGCGUCCAGUCCCUGGUCCAACCAUCCUGCCUGUGCUCUGUUGUUGCUUCUUGUUGUUGCUGUGUUUUUCUGUUUCUCUAUCCCCUCACCCCAACCAGUCAAGGCAGUUGGCCGCCCACAUUCACCCUGGCUCUUGUAAAUGUCCCUGGCCAGCGUGGGGGAAAUACACCUUGUGUGCUGCAAUUAAUGUCCAAGGGGUCCUGCGUCACCAUGCCCCACUAGGUCCCAUGCACUACGUGCAGCUGUGCAGGCUGCAUAAUUCCCAUAAAAAAAUGACAGAAGACAAGACAGACUGAAAAUGUUUGGUCCCAACAUCACCUUACAUACCUGUUGCUCAUGGGUGGGAUUCAGCUCCCCAGACCAACCUGUGACACAGUAAGUGUUGUUAGGUGCUAUAUUAUUCCAUACCCUUGUCUUCUUAACUCUCAGCAGUGAUGAUCUUCUUAAAUCUCGAAAGUGAUGAUUUUAUGGACUUUAAGAACAACAGACUCCUCCUGCUCUUGCAAGCAAUGGACGUGGCAUGCGGAGACACUAAGGUGGGGUCAAUCCAAGGAUGGAUUCGGCACACAAGGCAAUAUUUUCCCAGAUGCCUAGCCCACAAGGACAUCACCUGUGAUGUGGAUGAGGCCAUGUGGCCUGAUCCACAAAGAACACAGGAUCUUUUAAACAACACAACUUGCAAUCAAAUAAAUUAACACAUCCAAUUAGGUAUAACACAGUGGACAGCAAAAUACAGAACACUGAUUUCACUGAAAAAAAUCAAAUUGUUGCAACAAAACCUUACACACAAGCUCUAUUUGAAUCAUCCUUUCACAUCACCAGCAACACACUGAUGAACUUUAUAUAAAACACUCCAGUCUUGUGUUUCCAUUUAUAAUUCUAAUUUGCUCAGAAUUCUGUAAAACUCAGACGUGACAUUUCUGCAGCAAUCAAACAAUAGUUUUCAAACACAGGGUCACACCAGGUCAGAUGCAGAAGAAACAGUGUGUGUGUGGUGUCCUCCUCUCUCUUUGACUCUCAUUACCUCCAUGUAUGCAUAGGCCUCUGUCUGACCUGGGGCCUAUUUGUAGCACUGAGGAUCAGAUUGUUUGGUGCUGUUUUUUGUGCAGGUGUUUUCAGGUGUGUGUGUGAGUGACUACAUUUGCCAGAUGAAGAUUGCUUUUUUUCUCAAUAAAAACGGGUCUAAUGUAUAACAAUGUGUGUAGUGUUUUGCAAUAAGUGUGUUAACAGAAUUGAGACAAAGAAGUAUUGAGGCUUUGGUCUAAGCAUUCGUUUUUAAUGUAAGCAAUAGGAAAAAACUGUAUCAGGGAGGACACCACUGAAAGGAAGUGGAUGAUGUGUGUGAAGGUCUCCAGCGCUUCGUCAGCUGCACACACAAGGAGGAGGAAGAAGAUUCCUUUGUCUCUUAUGGAUGUGUGUUUGUCUGGUUUCUUUUCUCUUUUUCUUGUUCUCUUGCUCUUGCAAUGUGCAGUUUCUCUGCUGUGGGACUAAUAAAGGCUUUCUCAUU